This 117-nucleotide ribosomal RNA is filed under the name Anaerolineae bacterium. Lineage: Bacteria; Bacillati; Chloroflexota; Anaerolineae. The record is from RNAcentral.
CUUGGUGAUCGAAGCGGCGGGGGUACACCCGGUCCCAUCCCGAACCCGGAAGUAAAGUCCGCCAGCGCCGAUGGUACUUGGCUGGAGACGGCCUGGGAGAGUAGGUCAUUGCCAAGG